GGGGAUAUAGCUCAGUGGUAGAGCAUUCGACUGCAGAUCGAGAGGUCCCUGGUUCGAACUCGGGUAUCUCAU
RNAcentral lists this transfer RNA (72 nucleotides) under Saccoglossus kowalevskii. RNAcentral describes it as "tRNA-Cys". It matches the Rfam family "tRNA". Rfam says of the family: Transfer RNA (tRNA) molecules are approximately 80 nucleotides in length. Their secondary structure includes four short double-helical elements and three loops (D, anti-codon, and T loops). Lineage: Eukaryota; Metazoa; Hemichordata; Enteropneusta; Harrimaniidae. The record is from RNAcentral.